This 66-nucleotide microRNA precursor is filed under the name Eisenia fetida (common brandling worm). Its description in RNAcentral is "Efe-Mir-10-P2j_pre stem-loop". The record is from RNAcentral. Lineage: Eukaryota; Metazoa; Annelida; Clitellata; Crassiclitellata; Lumbricidae.
AACCCGUAAUACCAGACUUGUGUUGGAGUAAUAGAUUAUAUUCUCAAGUUUGGUAUGACCGGUCUC